Molecule: long non-coding RNA, 490 nt
Filed under: Chinchilla lanigera (long-tailed chinchilla)
Lineage: Eukaryota; Metazoa; Chordata; Mammalia; Rodentia; Chinchillidae
Description: lncRNA (ENSCLAG00000023308.1)
Source: RNAcentral
CACAGGCACACUCACGGCAACAGUGCAGCUUCCGACCUCAUGCAUGCUAAGGAGGGAGCAGAGAGCUGCAGCCCCAUUGUGCUGUCGCCGGCAGCCUGAUGCACAGUGUAAGGGAGCUCCCAGAAAGUCUCCCAUCCUCCCAGCUAUUUGCAAUCCUAAUCCCUGAAUAGAGCCUGAGACCACUUGGCAAACUCAGAAACAGGGCAAGAUGUGUAAACACAGGUACAAGUGCAUGCAUUCAGCAUCAAUGCUCCCUGGCCAGCAGCAGGUUAGUGAAGAGGACUCAGCAGUUCCAUCCUUGGGACAAGUUCCCUCACAAAGAUUUGUGGAAUUCAGGCCCCCACAUGCUUGAUGAUGCAGCACAGCUCCUGGAUGCAGAGGGUCAGCGAGAGAAACUCCUACUUCCCCCAAAGCCCCCCAGAACAUGAAAGCCUGACUCCACAUUGUUUAUGGACUCAAUUUAUAUAAACUUGCACCUCAGAGACACUCU